CCGAGUUUACAACUCCCAAACCCAAUGUGAACGUUACCAAACUGUUGCCUCGGCGGGGUCACGCCCCGGGUGCGUAAAAGCCCCGGAACCAGGCGCCCGCCGGAUGGAACCAACCAAACUCUUUCUGUAGUCCCCUCGCGGACGUAUUUCUUACAGCUCUGAGCAAAAAUUCAAAAUGAAUCA
Molecule: unclassified non-coding RNA, 183 nt
Filed under: soil metagenome
Description: partial internal transcribed spacer 1
Source: RNAcentral